This is a long non-coding RNA of Humulus lupulus (European hop), 471 nucleotides long. RefSeq lists it as uncharacterized. The transcript has 2 exons. The record is from RefSeq and is a predicted model, not a curated record. NCBI's taxonomy places the organism in Eukaryota, Viridiplantae, Streptophyta, Magnoliopsida, Rosales, Cannabaceae.
UGAUAGAAUUUAAUAAAUCAUGUGCCUUGAAUAGGAUUUGUAUGGAUUUGAUUGAUUGACUCUUGGUGAGCCGUUUUAAAAUAAGCUAAGGACCUAAGGGCAAGAAGUCGGUUUUGACAACGAAAGGGUUUCACAGAGACUUGGUUUUAAAGAAUAAUCUUCAUCGGCUAUAUAAUUGUUUUCUAGUUAUCCAAUUUUUUUUAUGCCGAAAAACUUUCUAUUGAACAAACUUGUUGCUCAAUUUAGCAUCUAUUAUCAAGGUAUAACCAGUCAAUUGCAUCUGCUUAAAAAAUAAAAAAUAAAAAAUAAAAAAUUUGACUGUAAGACAUGAAGAUCAAGGAUGUUUUCAUGAUGAUGGUCAUUUUCUCUUCCUACGUUAUGUGGUUUGUGUUCAAAAGUAUGGAUGAUGAGGAUUCGUUUGUAUUUUCGUAUACAUUCAUUGUAAUUUAUACUAUUGUUAUAGCUUAUUUC